GCCAGGUUUGGUGGUACACAUCUGUAGUCCCAGCUACUCAGGAAGCUGAGGCAGGAGGACUGCUUGAGCCCAGGAGUUCUACAUCAGCCUGAAACAAAGCAGGACCCUCCACUCUU
RNAcentral lists this small RNA (116 nucleotides) under Marmota monax (woodchuck). The record is from RNAcentral. Lineage: Eukaryota; Metazoa; Chordata; Mammalia; Rodentia; Sciuridae.